This is a long non-coding RNA of Monodelphis domestica (gray short-tailed opossum), 7047 nucleotides long. RefSeq lists it as uncharacterized. The record is from RefSeq and is a predicted model, not a curated record. Lineage: Eukaryota; Metazoa; Chordata; Mammalia; Didelphimorphia; Didelphidae.
AAAACCAGUUUGACCAAACUGUAAAAGAAAACCAGGCUUUAAAGCAAGAACUAAUAAAGCAAAGCCAAAACACCAAGAAAUUAGAAGAGAACAUAAAAUAUCUCACCGACAAGGUGAUAGAUCUGGAAAACAGGGGGAGAAGAGAAAAUUUAAGAAUAAUUGGACUCCCAGAAAAGCCAGAAAUAAACACCAAACUGGACAUGGUGAUACAAGAUAUAAUCAAAGAAAAUUGCCCAGAGAUUCUAGAACAAGGGGGCAAUACAGCCACUGACAGAGCUCACAGAACACCUUCUACACUAAACCCCCAAAAGACAACUCCCAGGAAUGUAAUUGCCAAAUUCCAAAGCUAUCAAACAAAAGAAAAAAUCCUACAGGAAGCCAGAAAAAGACAAUUUAGAUAUAAAGGAAUGCCAAUCAGGAUCACACAAACCUUGCAAGUUCUACGCUGAAUGAUCGUAAGGCAUGGAACAUGAUCUUCAGAAAGGCAAGAGAGCUGGGUCUCCAACCAAGAAUCAGCUACCCAGCAAAACUGACUAUAUACUUCCAAGGGAAAGUAUGGGCAUUCAACAAAAUAGAAGACUUCCAACUUUUUGCAAAGAAAAGACCAGAGCUCUGUGGAAAGUUUGAUACCGAAAAUCAAAGAGCAAGGAAUACCUGAAAAGCUAAGCCUGGGAGGACAAAGAUUUGCUUUUGCUAUUCCUGCCUCUUAGAGCAGCCAAAGAUGAAAGAGAUAAGUGAGGACUCUACGUUGCCCCAGCUUCCUGCUUCUGCCAUGAAUCACAGCCUAAGCUAAAUAAGGAUGUGGAACUGGUCUUCAUCAUUCAUAUGUGGACCUUAAUCUUUGCACCUACAUUUCCCUCAAACAAACCCUGAAGCUUUCUUCAACAACAAAUAUUUGCCCUGUACCUAUUAAGAAAAAAAAAAUUCUUCUUGGCAUUGGAGAUUAAAAGAACAAAGCCUCACCUAGUCAUCAAACUCAAGGAACUAACUACUGGGGCAAAAGGAGGAAGAGAAAGAAGCCAAUACAAGGUAAGAUGCAAUGGGGCCGAAGUGACUUAGAAAUACAGUAUUUAAGGAUGGAGACACCAUUUUCAGCAGGGGUCUAAGGGAAAGGUUCAUGAAGGGGAUUGUCCAUGGCCUGAGCCUUAAAGGAGGGUUCUGAAAGGCACCGAGGAGAAAGGACUGCAUUCCAACCAUGAGGUCAUUCUACACAAAGGCAGGAUAUCUGGUAUGUUGAAUUCAGUUAGAAGUUCUAUUUGGCUGAAACAGAGAGCUUAUGAAGUGAAAUAACAUGAAACCAGACUGGAAGAAUAAUUAGAAAUUGGAUUGUAGGGAGAGUUUAAAUUGAAUUGUAAGGAACGUAUUAUAUUUUAUCCUAUAGACAGUGGGGAAAUGGUCAGAAGUCACUAAAAAUUUUUAAGAUAUGGACUCAGAUCUGUGCGUUGGGAAGAUUUUUUAAAAUUGUUUUCUUUAUUCAAAGACAUUUUAUUUUUCCAAUGAGAUGUAAUAACAAUUUUCAACAUGUUUUCUGAGAUAAUAAGAUCCAAAUUGUCUCUCUCCCUCCCCGCUCUUGGAGAUGGUAAUCAAUUUGAUCUAGGUUAAACAUGUUUUAUCAUGCAAAACAUACUUCUAUGUUGGUCAUUGUUGUAAGGAAAUGCUCCUAUAAAGCCAACCCCCCCCCCAAUAGAAACACAAAUAAACUAAAGUGAAAAAUAACAUGUUUUGCUCUCCAUGCCAGCUUCAACAGCUCUUUCUCUAGAGGUAGAUAGCAUUCUUUGUCAUAAGUGGGAAGAAUUUUUUUGGUAGCUGGAUGAAGGAUGGAUUAGAGAAAGGAACCUGGAGGUGGAGAAACCAGCUUUGACCAGUAUAGUAGUCCAGGUCAAAGGUAAGAAGGAUCGAAAUUAGUGUGGUCACAGUGUGAGUGGAAAGAAAAGACGAAAUUUUAGAGAAGUUGUAGAAGUAAAAAUCAACAGGAUUUAGAAAUUGGUUAGAUAUGGGAAUUGUUGAGGAGGGAAAGAUCAAAGAUAUUUUUAAGACUGAAAGGAUAUAAAGAGAUUGAGAAGUACGUUAGUAGAGAAGAGCACCAAGAAAGAGCAGUUCUAUUGAAGCCAAAGGAGGAGAGAGUAUAAAGGAGAAGGGAUAGCAUCGAACACUGCAGGAAAGGUGGAGAAUAAGAAAUGAGCAGGGGCCAUCUGUGACUUUGGAAAGGUCAGUUUCAAUUACUUUGGCAUCUGCAACCAAAUUUCAAGGAAUUGAGAAGUGAGAAGGUGGAAGCAGUGAGCCAAAUCUACCCUUUUUAGAAGUUCAGCAGUGAAAAGAAGGAAGUAGAGGGGAUGGCAAGAUGAAGGAAAAAUUUCUUUUAAAUUUUAUUGACAUAUUUUGACUUGACAAAAUAGACCCAUCACAAAAAAUGCACAAAUGCCACAAGGAAUAUUCCCUCAAAACUGUGAAGCAGAGGCAUCUAAAAAAAAGUGGUUGUAAAUAUUACAAUGAAGGUGGCUAAGUGGCACAAUGGAUAGAGUGCCAUCCCUGGAAUCAAGAGGACCAGAGUCUAAAUCUGUCUUCACUUAUUGUGUGACCCUGGGCAAGUCACAAACCUAUUUGCCUCAGUUCUUCAUCUAUAAAAUAAGCUGGAGAAGGAAAUGGCAAGAAAAUUGCCAAGAAAAUCCCAGAUGGGGUCAUGAAGAGACAGACAUGACUGAAAUGACUAACAACAAAUGAUACUACUUGUCACUUUCCUCUUUUCUAGUUUACUAAUUAAUAACAGUAAGAAAAAUAUGUGUUUUGACUUUAAUCAUUUGGUUCCAAUGUUGUCUAUUGAAUUUGACCUGACAUUGACCUGAUUUACAUUGUUGUAGUUAUUCAGUAAAAGUUCCGCUGUCUUCAUCCAGCACCAAAACAUACGAGGGUUUCCAUAUUUCCCUGAAUUCUUCAAAUUCAUCAUCCUUAGAAUACAAUAAAAUUGUGCUACAGUUAUUUAUAAUUUGUUUGGUCAUUACUAAUCAUAGAGUACACAAUUUAUUUCCAGAUUUUUGCUAUUACAAAUAAUAUCACCAAAUCCUUUUGAACAUAUGAGUCUUUUCUUGCCAUCCCUAGUUUCCUUAACAAAAUUAAUAGAUAGAUCUGUGGGUCAAAAGUGAUGAAAAAUUAGAAACCUUUUUUUGCCUAAUUUCUAAUUGUUUUCCAGAAUGGUUAGAAAGUCAAAAUGAUUUAUAAAGUUAGUGUGCUCAUAAUAAAAAGGUUGUUUCUUUCUUUCCUUAGCCUGAGCAUGUUUAUAGGUAAUAGGGAAGAAACUAAGUAGAAAGGAAGAGAUUGAAGAUGAGAGAGAGAGAGAGAGAGAGAGAGAGAGAGAGAGAGAGAGAGAGAGAGAGAGAGAGAGAGAGAGAGAGGUGAGAAAUUGAAGUAAACGCCUGAAGGUGGUGGAAAGGGUUAAGAUUAAAGUUACAGGUGGAGAGAUUAAUUUGGCAAGAUGAAGAAUCAUCUUAGCUUUUGAGAUUGAAGGAGAAGAUGCAGAGAAACCUUGACUGCCCCAAGAUCACACAGCCCACACAUGUGAGAGGCAGGAUUCAAAUCUAGGUUUUCCUGACUCCAAGACCAAUAUUGAAUCAACUCCAUCACAUUGCCUCUCAGAUGAGAUAUUCAAAUUCACUAAUUCAACAAUUCCUUACUAUAUGUCUUCAAUGGAGCAGGCAUUGUGCCCAGCAACCAGAAAUACAAAGAUUAAAACUAAAAAAUCCCUCCCCUGAAGGAAGGAUCCUCUUUGCAUCAACUGCUCUGUCUGAUUUCAUCUUCAUGGGACAAGAUGAUCCUCCCAGAAUAAAGUCAUCACUUCUAAUUUCAUCACCAUGCUGCUGAUUCAACCUUUGAUUGAUACUAUCUCUCUCAGCCUCCUCUGCCCUCUUUUUUAUUAAUUGAAAAAUAUUAUUUAAUUAAUUAAUUUAGAAUAUUUUCCAUGGCUACAUGAUUCAUGUUCUUUCUCUCCUCUUCUCUCACACCCCUCCCAUAUCUGAUGCACAAUUCCACUGGGUCUUACAUGUAUCAUUGAUCAAGACCUAUUUCCAUAUUAUUGAUUUUUGCACUAGGGUGAUCAUUUCGAGUCUACAUCCCCAGUCAUAUCUCCUCGACCCAUGUAAUCAAGCAGUUAUUUUUCUUCUGUGUUUCUAUUCCCACAGUUCUUCCUCUGGAUGUGGAUAGCAUUCCUUCUCAGAAUUGUCCUGAAUCACUACAUUGCCAUUAAUGGAGAAGUCCAUUACAAAUUCGAUUAUACCAUAGUGUAUCCAUCUCUGUGUACAAUGUUCUCCUGGUUCUGCUCCUCUCACUCUGCAUCAAUUCCUGGAGGUUGUUCCAAUUCACAUGGAAUUCCUCCAGUUUAUUAUUCCUUUGAGCACAAUAGUAGCCCAUUAACAACAGAUACCACAAUUUGUUCAGUCAUUCCCCAGUUGAAGGACAUCCCCUCAUUUUCCAAUUUUUUGCCACCACAAAAAGCUCAGCUAUAAAUAUUUUUGUACAAGUCCUUUUCCUUAUCUCUUUGGGGUAUAAACCCAGCAGUGAUAUAGCUGGAUAAAAAGGCAGACAGUCUCCCCUCUUUUUUGAAGGACUAGAGGGGUAUUGAACUCCUCCCAAUGCCUUUCCUUAUAGCAGGCAGAAAGUGAAAUGCAAGCACAUUCCACUUUGUAUCUGCUGUCCUUAUUGGUUUCAGCUCCACCAAACAAGUUGUCCCUACUCCAGGUAUCCCUUGGUGUCCACCCUACCCCUUCUCCUUCUUUUGUAUUGUUUUCCCCCAUUCGAUUGUAAGCUCCUUGAGAGCAGAGACUUAUAUUUUUCUUAAUUAUAUCUUCAGCAUAAUGUCUGGCAUGUAGUAGGAACAUGAAAAAUAUCUAUUGAAUUGAGUUUACAUUCUGUUGGGAAUGGGAAGGACACCAAGUACAGUGGUAAGUAAAUACAAAUGGUGAAGUGGAUCAUUCUGGAAGAGUUGAGAAUGGUGAGUAGGAAAGACCUCCUGUAGGAAGUGACCCUUGAGCUAAUACUUGGAUGGAACUUGGGGGGGGAAGGAGGAAAGGUGAUAAGGGGAAAUAUUUCAGGAAUAGCGACAACACUUCGGAGGUGACGGAUAAUGAAUGUCCUUUACAGUGGAGAGAGUAGAAGCCACUGACAUCGUAGGUUAAAAUACCAGUUGAAAAGAAAAAAAGGUUUUAGCCAGAUCUCCCAAAAGGCUCCAUCUCAUGCUUCCUAAACAGCUGUCAUACUCUCAGCAGCCUUGAAUUAUUUUUUGUCUUAUAGUAAAUUUAAGAAACAUGAACAUUUCAGAAUGCAAAAAAAGAAAAGAGAAUUGUACAAGAAACUGUAAAGUUCUUAUAUACAGUUUUGUGGUUCUUUUAAACUUGUAUGUUAAAUUUAACAUAUAAUGCCAACAGUAUAGGGGCAGCAAGGUGGCAUAGGAGUUAGAGUGCUAAGCUUGGAGUCAGGAAAUUUUUAGUUUAAAUUCAACCUGGAAUAUAUAUUAGCUAUGAUACCCUAGGCAAGUCACUUUACCUUGUUUGCUUUAGUUUCCUCAUCUGUAAAAUGAACUGGAUAAGGAAAUAGCAAACUACUUCAAUAUCUUUGCCAAGAAAGUCCCAAAAGAGGUCAUGAAGAGUCCAAAAUGACCAGAACUGAACAAUAAAAACCAAAAAUGCCCUGCCCCUGCCCCUUUCUUUGCCAAUAACUUUCAAACGCAUUCCCAGCCAUGAUACAAGGGAACUGACUUAGAUCAUCUCUUUUAAAGUCACUUUCAGCUCAAAUAUUAUAUAAUUCCUUGAAUAUUCAGACUGAAUUUGUGACUAUAUAUAAAAAACUUAAACACUUACCUUCCAUCUUAGCAUUAAUACUGUGUUUUGGUUCCAAGGCAGAAGAGUGGUAAAGGCUAGGCAAUGGGCAUUAAGUGACUUGUCCAGGGUCACACAGCUAAGUAUGUGAGGUCAAAUUUGAACCCAGGACCUCCUGUCUCUAAUCCUGGAUCUUAAUCCAUUGAGUCACCUAGCUGCCCUUUUUUAUAAUAACUUUUAAAGCUGUUUAGCAAUGCUCCAAUUUCAACAUAAAAUGACUUUUUGUGUGUGUUUUAGGUUGGGCUGUUCAACAAGAAAAAGCACCACAAGACCAGUAUGAACAGAUUCUUCCCCCACCCGAAGUUUUUAGGUGCUCAAUUUCUCUUUUAACUUUCUAAAUCAUCCAUGGGUUAGGACUCCUCUUGAACCAUGAUGCUUGUAAAUCAUCAAGUGUACUCUGAAUGUGCUUAUCUCAGAACAAAAUCGCAGCCCUCUUUUUUCACCUACAGCAAGUACAUUGUAGUGACAAGUGUAAAAUUCCAUCAACAGAGCAGUAAUUCAGGCCCAUUUUUUCUGCCAAUUCGAUGUCAUUUUAAAACAUCAGGGCUUUGCCUGAACACAUUGUUUUUAGGGGAAAGUAUGUUGCCAAAGCCCACCUGUAGAAAUUCCCAUAGAGUUCAUAGCCUCUCUCUGUCAGCCUGGUAGAUGGGUGAUUUUCCCUCCCACCCACCCCCAAACCACGGGGUGUUUUUUUUCUAGAAUACCAGAGCCCUAGGUUUACACUGGGUUGCAUGUGAAGUCCUGCAGGACCCAACUAACUGAACCUUGAAAAUAAAUAGACAUAAACCCUAACCAUGUAUGGUCUGAAACAAGGAAAAUGACUUGCAAAACACUGAGCGAUGACUGCCCAUAUAAAAAUUCAGAACAUCGUCGUUCAGAUGGCAAGGGCUCAAAGAACAACCCAGUGGUACCACAAGCUUUACAGAAGGCAAAGCUGCUGCUCACUGAGCCCACUGCUGGUCCCACUGAAGAGGCAAAGCUGCAGCCCACUGCCACACAUGCUCGCCUCUGAUCACCCCACUCCCAGCAGACUCUGGUUCCAUGCUUCUCCUCACUCUAAAGGAAUCAUGCGGAAAAUAAAAUAGGCAUCUGGAUUGCAUUCCUUGGAAAGUUUCACUGCUCUGUUGAUUUAUUUUCCUACGAGUCGAUUUAUAUAUUUGUCUUCCCCUGGCAUGUCCAGAAA